RNAcentral lists this ribosomal RNA (379 nucleotides) under uncultured bacterium. RNAcentral's name for it is "bacterial SSU rRNA". It matches the Rfam family "Bacterial small subunit ribosomal RNA", at positions 917 to 1289 of the family's 1533-position model. The record is from RNAcentral.
GGGCCCGCACAAGCGGUGGAGCAUGUGGUUUAAUUCGAUGAUACGCGAGGAACCUUACCAGGGCUUAAAUGUAACGGGACAGAUCUAGAGAUAGAUCCUUCUUCGGACUCAUUACAAGGUGCUGCAUGGUUGUCGUCAGCUCGUGCCGUGAGGUGUCAGGUUAAGUCCUAUAACGAGCGCAACCCCCCAUCGUUAGUUGCCAACGAGUAAUGUCGGGAACUCUAACGAAACUGCCGGUGCAAAACCGUGAGGAAAGGUGGGGGAUGAACGUCAAAAUCAUCACGGCCCCUUACGUCCUGGGCUACACACGUGGCUACAAUGGUCGGUACAGAGAAGCAGCCACUACGCGAGUAGGAGCAAAUCUUCAAAGCCCGAUCUC